ACGUAUGGAGCAAGCGUUAUCCGGAUUUACUGGGUGUAAAGGGAGCGUAGGCGGUCCUGCAAGUCUGAUGUGAAAGGCCGGGGCUCAACCCCGGGACUGCAUUGGAAACUGUAGGACUAGAGUGUCGGAGGGGUAAGUGGAAUUCCUAGUGUAGCGGUGAAAUGCGUAGAUAUUAGGAGGAACACCAGUGGCGAAGGCGGCUUACUGGACGACUACUGACGCUGAGGCUCGAAAGCGUGGGGAGCAAACAG
This 251-nucleotide ribosomal RNA is filed under the name uncultured bacterium. Its description in RNAcentral is "partial 16S ribosomal RNA". It matches the Rfam family "Bacterial small subunit ribosomal RNA", at positions 525 to 775 of the family's 1533-position model. The record is from RNAcentral.